Molecule: ribosomal RNA, 253 nt
Filed under: uncultured bacterium
Lineage: Bacteria
Description: partial 16S ribosomal RNA
Rfam family: Bacterial small subunit ribosomal RNA
Source: RNAcentral
UACGUAGGGUGCAAGCGUUGUCCGGAAUUAUUGGGCGUAAAGAGCUUGUAGGCGGUUUGUCGCGUCUGCUGUGAAAAUCCGGGGCUCAACCCCCAGCCUGCAGUGGGUACGGGCAGACUAGAGUGCGGUAGGGGAGAUUGGAAUUCCUGGUGUAGCGGUGGAAUGCGCAGAUAUCAGGAGGAACACCGAUGGCGAAGGCAGAUCUCUGGGCCGUAACUGACGCUGAGGAGCGAAAGCAUGGGGAGCGAACAGG